GGACGAGUGGGUGAGCGGCUGAAACCACAUCCCUGCUAAGGAUGCGUACGGGUAACUGUACCGAGAGUUCGAAUCUCUCCUCGUCCACCA
Molecule: transfer RNA, 90 nt
Filed under: Sulfurimonas sp.
Lineage: Bacteria; Pseudomonadati; Campylobacterota; Epsilonproteobacteria; Campylobacterales; Sulfurimonadaceae
Description: tRNA-Ser
Rfam family: tRNA
About the family: Transfer RNA (tRNA) molecules are approximately 80 nucleotides in length. Their secondary structure includes four short double-helical elements and three loops (D, anti-codon, and T loops).
Source: RNAcentral